RNAcentral lists this unclassified non-coding RNA (23 nucleotides) under Dictyostelium discoideum. Lineage: Eukaryota; Evosea; Eumycetozoa; Dictyosteliales; Dictyosteliaceae. The record is from RNAcentral.
UUCGAGUCCGAUCGGGAGCACCA